Molecule: ribosomal RNA, 467 nt
Filed under: uncultured Pusillimonas sp.
Lineage: Bacteria; Pseudomonadati; Pseudomonadota; Betaproteobacteria; Burkholderiales; Alcaligenaceae
Description: bacterial SSU rRNA
Rfam family: Bacterial small subunit ribosomal RNA
Source: RNAcentral
UUGACGGGACCGCACAAGCGGUGGAUGAUGUGGAUUAAUUCGAUGCAACGCGAAGAACCUUACCUACCCUUGACAUGUCCGGAACUUGCCAGAGAUGGCUUGGUGCCCGAAAGGGAAUCGGAACACAGGUGCUGCAUGGCUGUCGUCAGCUCGUGUCGUGAGAUGUUGGGUUAAAGUCCCGCAACGAGCGCAACCCUUGUCAUUAGUUGCUACGAAAGGGCACUCUAAUGAGACUGCCGGUGACAAACCGGAGGAAGGUGGGGAUGACGUCAAGUCCUCAUGGCCCUUAUGGGUAGGGCUUCACACGUCAUACAAUGGUCGGGACAGAGGGUCGCCAACCCGCGAGGGGGAGCCAAUCCCAGAAACCCGAUCGUAGUCCGGAUUGCAGGCUGCAACUCGCCUGCAUGAAGUCGGAAUCGCUAGUAAUCGCGGAUCAGCAUGUCGCGGUGAAUACGUUCCCGGGUCUU